RNAcentral lists this transfer RNA (72 nucleotides) under Mycobacterium phage Estes. RNAcentral describes it as "tRNA-Leu". It matches the Rfam family "tRNA". From Rfam's summary of the family: Transfer RNA (tRNA) molecules are approximately 80 nucleotides in length. Lineage: Duplodnaviria; Heunggongvirae; Uroviricota; Caudoviricetes; Vilmaviridae. The record is from RNAcentral.
AAACAUUUAGCUCAGCAGAAGAGCAUCUGUUUUAGGAACAGGCGGCGGUGGUGCGAAUCCACCAAUGUAACC